This 492-nucleotide ribosomal RNA is filed under the name uncultured bacterium. Its description in RNAcentral is "partial 16S ribosomal RNA". It matches the Rfam family "Bacterial small subunit ribosomal RNA", at positions 29 to 507 of the family's 1533-position model. The record is from RNAcentral.
AGUGAACGCUGGCGGUAGGCCUAACACAUGCAAGUCGAACGGCAGCACAGUAAGAGCUUGCUCUUACGGGUGGCGAGUGGCGGACGGGUGAGGAAUACAUCGGAAUCUACUUUUUCGUGGGGGAUAACGUAGGGAAACUUACGCUAAUACCGCAUACGACCUACGGGUGAAAGCAGGGGAUCUUCGGACCUUGCGCGAUUGAAUGAGCCGAUGUCGGAUUAGCUAGUUGGCGGGGUAAAGGCCCACCAAGGCGACGAUCCGUAGCUGGUCUGAGAGGAUGAUCAGCCACACUGGAACUGAGACACGGUCCAGACUCCUACGGGAGGCAGCAGUGGGGAAUAUUGGACAAUGGGCGCAAGCCUGAUCCAGCCAGACCGCGUGGGUGAAGAAGGCCUUCGGGUUGUAAAGCCCUUUUGUUGGGAAAGAAAAGCAGCAGGUUAAUACCACGCUGUUCUGACGGUACCCAAAGAAUAAGCACCGGCUAACUUCGUG